Long non-coding RNA from Haplochromis burtoni (Burton's mouthbrooder), 772 nucleotides. RefSeq lists it as uncharacterized. NCBI's taxonomy places the organism in Eukaryota, Metazoa, Chordata, Actinopteri, Cichliformes, Cichlidae. The record is from RefSeq and is a predicted model, not a curated record. The transcript has 3 exons.
UUAACAACAGUAACCCUGUUCUUCUACUGAUGCUGUAAAGCAGGAAGGACACGGGCUGGGUCAAUGAGCCAGGCCAGCACUAAUUGACACCCCCGGGAUGAGAUGAAGCUGUGUGUCCACACAUCUCAGAUUGUGACUCACGGUCUUUGUGUUGCUUCGGUGAGAACAGCAGUAAAGGGCAGCUGGAUUCUGAUAUACUGUCUGACAUAGAAGUAAAGUGUAAGGAUCGUGGGCUCGCUGUGUGGACCGGACAGAUGGUUUUCAGCCACGCUUGGAGGACCUGGAGGGAGAAACGGAGCGCGGCAGCCGCCCCCGUCCUCUAUCGUCUCCAGCAGCUCCUCUGUGGUUUCUCUUCUUCGGGAUUUCGUUGUAUUUGAUUUUUUGGCUUCGUGAUUUCGUGUUUCUCUCGCUGCCUGCUCAGUGCUGUCACUGUCUGUGUCUGUUUAUUUUGUUUGAUGCUCGAUGACUGAAAAGCACUUUGGGUCACCUCCUCAUGUUUUCAUGUGCGCUGUAAAAAACAUUACCUGACGUCUUGUCCACGUGCACGAUCGGCGUUGUGUCGAUUCAACGUUCUCUUCCUGUUUAUCUUUUCCUAUUUAGUAUUUCCCUCUUUAUAUUUUUGCACAUGAUGCUUUUUAAUUUCACAGUUUUCUGGUUAUGAAACCAGACAAAAUAUUUAAAUCCAACCCCCCCGUCAUUUCAAACUAGCUCUGCUGCCUACAGUGUUGUCCUUUCACUGAGGGCUUCAUAGCACAAGGAAAACAAACUUUCA